RNAcentral lists this long non-coding RNA (407 nucleotides) under Gallus gallus (chicken). Its description in RNAcentral is "lncRNA (ENSGALG00010028646.1)". Lineage: Eukaryota; Metazoa; Chordata; Aves; Galliformes; Phasianidae. The record is from RNAcentral.
CUCUUUGAAAGGGUAGAUAACAGCAGGACAAGGCGGAACCGUUCUAAGUUGAAAGAGGGAAGAUUUAGGUUGGAUGUUAGGGGGAAGUGCUUUACAGGAGACUGGUGAGGUGCUGGAACAGCUGCCCAGAGAGGCUGUGGAUGCCCCGUCCAUCCCUGGAGGUGUUCAAGGCCAGGCUGGACGGGGCCCUGGGCAGCCUGGUCUAGUAAAUGGGGAGGUUGGUGGCCCUGCCUGGCAGGGGGGUUGGAGAUUCAUGAUCCUUGAGGUCCCCCCAACCCAGGCCAUUCUGUGACUCUGAUUCUGUGGGUCAGGUCUCCAGGGACGGAGCAUCCACGGCAUCUCUGUGCAACCUGUGCCAGUGCCUCACCACCCCCCUGCAGAAGAUUCUGUCCCUGUAGCCAACCUAA